RNAcentral lists this transfer RNA (71 nucleotides) under Stegodyphus mimosarum. It matches the Rfam family "tRNA". Rfam says of the family: Transfer RNA (tRNA) molecules are approximately 80 nucleotides in length. Their secondary structure includes four short double-helical elements and three loops (D, anti-codon, and T loops). Further hydrogen bonds mediate the characteristic L-shaped molecular structure. tRNAs have two regions of fundamental functional importance: the anti-codon, which is responsible for specific mRNA codon recognition, and the 3' end, to which the tRNAs corresponding amino acid is attached (by aminoacyl-tRNA synthetases). tRNAs cope with the degeneracy of the genetic code in two manners: having more than one tRNA (with a specific anti-codon) for a particular amino acid; and 'wobble' base-pairing, i.e. permitting non-standard base-pairing at the 3rd anti-codon position. The record is from Rfam by way of RNAcentral. Lineage: Eukaryota; Metazoa; Arthropoda; Arachnida; Araneae; Eresidae.
GCCUUCGUAGUGUAACUGUAACACUCUCGGCUGGUAUUCGAGAGGCUGAGGUUCGAGUCCCGGCGAGGGCA